This 380-nucleotide unclassified non-coding RNA is filed under the name uncultured Nectriaceae. RNAcentral describes it as "sequence contains ITS2". The stretch from base 1 to 154 matches the Rfam family "5.8S ribosomal RNA". Lineage: Eukaryota; Fungi; Ascomycota; Sordariomycetes; Hypocreales; Nectriaceae. The record is from RNAcentral.
AACUUUUGGCAACGGAUCACUUGGUUCUGGCAUCGAUGAAGAACGCAGCGAGAUGCGAUAAGUAAUGUGAAUUGCAGAAUUCAGUGAAUCAUCGAAUCUCUGAACGCACAUUGCGCCCGCCAGUAUUCUGGCGGGCAUGCCUGUUCGAGCGUCAUGUCAAGCCUCAAGCCCCCGGGCUUGGUGUUCGAGAUCGCCGUGCCCCCCGCGUCGCGCCGGCUCCCAAAUAUAGUGGCGGUCUCGCUGUGGCUUCCUCUGCGUAGUACCACCCCUCGUACUGGAAAACAGCGUAGCCACGACGUAAAACCCCCAACUGCUGAACGGUUGACCCAGCAUCAGGGAGGAAGCCACGCGGACCAUAAGCAUAUCAAUAAGCGGAGGGU